UGGCGGUAACUUUUAAACAUGCAAGUCGAGCGGUAACAGACAUAAAGAUUCAGCUUGCUGAAUCCGGUGCUGACGAGCGGCGAACGGGUGAGUAACGCGUAGGAAUCUACCCAGUAGCGGGGGAUAGCCCGGGGAAACCCGGAUUAAUACCGCAUACGCCCUAAGGGGGAGAAGGGGCAGCUUGCUGCUUUCACUAUUGGAUGAGCCUGCGUAAGAUUAGCUUGUUGGUGGGGUAAAGGCCUACCAAGGCGACGAUCUUUAGCUGGUCUGAGAGGACGAUCAGCCACAUUGGGACUGAGACACGGCCCAGACA
RNAcentral lists this ribosomal RNA (313 nucleotides) under uncultured Gammaproteobacteria bacterium. Its description in RNAcentral is "bacterial SSU rRNA". It matches the Rfam family "Bacterial small subunit ribosomal RNA", at positions 37 to 337 of the family's 1533-position model. The record is from RNAcentral. Lineage: Bacteria; Pseudomonadati; Pseudomonadota; Gammaproteobacteria.